RNAcentral lists this small RNA (108 nucleotides) under Flavobacteriaceae bacterium. RNAcentral describes it as "6S RNA". It matches the Rfam family "6S-Flavo RNA". The record is from RNAcentral. Lineage: Bacteria; Pseudomonadati; Bacteroidota; Flavobacteriia; Flavobacteriales; Flavobacteriaceae.
ACUCAACGAACUUUUUUUUAAAAGAGGUGAGUCCAUAUGGUAAAAGCAUGCUGCCCUGAGCAGAUCCUUGAUCCAUAGGUUAGCCCCAAUCCUGUAAUUAUGGAGUUU